RNAcentral lists this long non-coding RNA (697 nucleotides) under Phoenix dactylifera (date palm). Its description in RNAcentral is "long non-coding RNA (PDAC_LNC016763)". The record is from RNAcentral. Lineage: Eukaryota; Viridiplantae; Streptophyta; Magnoliopsida; Arecales; Arecaceae.
GCAUGUCUGGAGGAGAACGAUGCACCGCUCGAAGUUGAGGGAGGCGGGUUUUGGGGCGGGUGAGCGUGGGGGUGAGGUGGUGACUGGUGAGGGACAAAGGGAGGAGGGGGUGGGGACCGUGGGGUGUCUUCUGGAGAGGGAUGGAGGGAGCCAGCCAGGCGCCAGCCAGGGAGGAAUUGGGUCAGGGACUCAGGAUGGAGGCUGAGGGGUUUAGUAUGGUGGUGUGGUGCCGUGGUGGGGGGUUUGGGCUGCAUCUGGCCAUUAAAGUAGAGGGGUGGAUUUUCCUGGGAAUUGGGAGUGAUAUUGUGUGGUUUAAUGAGCUCAACCUUUUUUUUUUUUGUGAUUGAUUAGCUUUUCUAGCAGCCAGGGGGUGAGGUCUGUGGCGAGCAUGAUAAAAGGAAGUGUUCUCUUCAACAAGGCCUUGGCUUGGGCUAUCUUCUAAUGUGAUCAGGUAUGUUGUAAAUUCUUUGGGGCUGGGCCUCUUCACAUACAUUGGAAAGCAUUUGUGGUGUAGAUGAAUGCACAUAGCUAGGUUGCUAAAGGGUGCUAAAAGGUUUAGAUUUCUAAACACUAAUAGCUAAGCAUAAAUGGGCCCUAUUCUCAUAGCUUUUCACUACUUGUAAGCACUGAUUUCGGAACAUCUAAUAGCUAUUAUUUUUAAAUGAAUUUUUAAAAUAUUUUGCAUUUAUUAAAAAAA